GAUGAACGCUAGCGACAGGCCUAACACAUGCAAGUCGAGGGGCAUCGGGGUGUAGCAAUACGCUGCCGGCGACCGGCGGAUGGGUGAGUAACGCGUAUGCAACCUGCCUUCAGCAGGGGGAUAGCCCGUUGAAAGACGGAUUAAUACCCCAUAACACAGGGGCUCCGCAUGGAGAUUAUUGUUAAAGGGAUACUUCCGUUCGGGGGUAUUCCGGCUGAAGAUGGGCAUGCGUUCCAUUAGGUAGUUGGUUGAGGUAACGGCUCACCAAGCCUGCGAUGGAUAGGGGAACUGAGAGGUUCGGUCCCCCAACUGGUACUGAGACACGGACCAGACUCCUACGGGAGCAGCAGUGAGGAAUCUUGGUCAAUGGACGGAAGUCUGAACCAGCCAUGUCGCGUGAAGGAGGACGGCCCUAAGGGUUGUAAACUUCUUUUGCAGGGGAAUAAAGUAUUCCACGAGAUGGGAUAUUGCAAGUACGCUGCGAAUAAGGAUCGGCUAACUCCGUGCC
This 508-nucleotide ribosomal RNA is filed under the name uncultured bacterium. Its description in RNAcentral is "bacterial SSU rRNA". It matches the Rfam family "Bacterial small subunit ribosomal RNA", at positions 28 to 509 of the family's 1533-position model. The record is from RNAcentral.